GAUGAACGCUGGCGGCAUGCCUAACACAUGCAAGUCGAUCGGUAAGGCUCUUCGGAGUACACGAGAGGCGGACGGCUGAGUAACGCGUAGGAACACACCCUGCAGUGAGGGAUAAGACACCGAAAGGUGUUCUAAUACCGCAUACGGUCUUCGGAUUAAAGCAUUUAUGCGCUGAAGGAGUGGCCUGCGUCAUAUUAGAUAGUUGGUGAGGUAAUGGCUCACCAAGUCGAUGAUGUGUAGCUGGUCUGAGAGGAUGAUCAGCCAGACUGGAACUGAGACACGGUCCAGACACCUACGGGAGGCAGCAGUGAGGAAUAUUUCACAAUGAGCGAAAGCUUGAUGGAGCAAUGCCGCGUGCAGGAUGAAGGCCCUCGGGUUGUAAACUGCUUUUAUAAGAGAAGAUUAUGACGGUAACUUAUGAAUAAGGGACGGCUAACUACGUG
This 443-nucleotide ribosomal RNA is filed under the name uncultured bacterium. RNAcentral's name for it is "partial 16S ribosomal RNA". It matches the Rfam family "Bacterial small subunit ribosomal RNA", at positions 28 to 507 of the family's 1533-position model. The record is from RNAcentral.